GAUGUUGGGUUAAGUCCCGCAACGAGCGCAACCCUUGUUCCUAGUUGCCAGCAUUGAGUUGGGCACUCUAGGGAGACUGCCGGUGACAAACCGGAGGAAGGUGAGGAUGACGUCAAGUCAGCAUGCCCCUUACGCUCUGGGCUACACACGUGCUACAAUGGCGCGGACAAAGGGUCGCGAGCGCGCGAGCGUGAGCCAAUCCCAAAAACCGCGUCUCAGUUCAGAUCGCAGGCUGCAACUCGCCUGCGUGAAGGCGGAAUCGCUAGUAAUCGCAGAUCAGCAUGCUGCGGUGAAUACGUUCCCGGGCCUUGUACACACCGCCCGUCACACCAUGGGAGCUGGCCAUGCCCGAAGUCGGAGCACCCGCCGAAGGCAGGGCUGGUGACUGGGGUGAAGUCGUAACAAGGUAGCCGUACCGGAAGGUGCGGCUGGAUCACCUCCUUU
Molecule: ribosomal RNA, 444 nt
Filed under: uncultured cyanobacterium
Lineage: Bacteria; Bacillati; Cyanobacteriota
Description: bacterial SSU rRNA
Rfam family: Bacterial small subunit ribosomal RNA
Source: RNAcentral